GCAUUUUAAGGUAAGACUUACAAUGGCGCAGCCGGUCUCAAGCCCGGAAAAAGGAGGAGAGACCACCCAUGUGUGCCGGAUCACGUACAUGUGUGCAACAUACAUGCACGUGAUCCAGCACACAUAUAUAUUACAACCUAGGUUGGUGAGGCAGAGUAUUAUAUAUAACAAAGCUUUGUGUUGUCAUACGAAUUUCUAUUGUGUUCUUUGUUUGUGGUGACAUAAAUGAGACUAGCAUGAAAAGCUUUAUUACAGGCAGCAUAGCUUGUUGCUUGCCAAAGUGAAGAAUGGCGUGUGAAGAAGUGAAGAAACUGCAGGCACUAAGUUUACAGCAAACCACACAUGAAAAUACUCUGCAUACCAAAUAGGAUUUUGGUUGGGCCCUGCCGAAAAUAAAGUGAGUGCUGAGACAAACUCAUUUCAGUCGGGGAAGUAUGAGUUUGCUUGAUCUGUCAUGUUUUGACUUGCUAGUACAACGUUGGCUGUCAACGAUAUAUGCCCAUAUACACAUAUGGUGUUUGCACAAGGGCAUGAUUACUUUUAAAUGGCGAUGUGCUCUCCAAAGAAGAAACUGGAGAAAGAAACUGCAGGUCCUGUCAGUUAAUUGCAGCUUCAACACCAACACCUACUUAAAAUCGGUGCAAUAAAGCCUUGAGGUGGUCAGGAUGAGAAAAACAAAAGCCUAAGAUGAAAUUGGGACUGGUGUGUCUACCCAGCUACUUAUUCAGCGUAGAAACCCCAUUUACAACAACUUUGUUUGCUUCAAUUAACUGCAACAAUUUAGUAGCUGGAACAAGAACAUCAAGCAUCAGCCAAUACUAAGAGAGUGAAUCCCACUUGUAGUUGUAAUUCAUCCCUUGCUUCCUAACUAGCUACUAGAUUCACAAAUUAUUCCUACUACUGAGUUUAGUUGCUACACAUGAGUUCAUCAACAGACCAUUCUCUUACCAACUGGCAUAUAAUUAAGAUGCACUUACCAGAGAUUACAGCUGCUUCGCAUUCUCUUACCCCUGAUACCUACUCCGGAAUCAGCCAGCACGGCCCUCCGUGUCAACUGAAAGAAUGUGGCCCAAAGCAAUGGUUUCAUGUUUACUGCUGAUUUGGAGCUACACAUCGCUAACUGAAACCAAUUCAGCAACGAUGAACAGCAAGUGCAAACAGAGCAACCACAAGGCUACAACACAAGUGAAUACCAGAGCUACUAAUACAGAUCUCGGUCGCAGGCAGUAACGAAUCUGUUAUAGGUUAUGGCCGAGCUCUGCCUAUUCUACAUGGAUGGCUAUGGUAGUCUGCAAACAGUCUCUCUUUUUUGCGAAAUCAAACAAUGUAAAGUUGAUAUACUAGCAACAAGAUAAUAGUCGUUAAUCGUUGGUGCUGCUGUGCGGCCUCUAGGUAGAUGUCUGUUCUAAAGCAGCAUAAAAGCUAAGGAUGCAGAGUCCUGUCAGAUCUCGUUCGAUCCCUGCAAGUAAAAGAAGCGCAGAGCUGGCAUUUGGGUUCUUGAUAGGAGGGCCAAGCAUUUGAGCAUUCUUGAGUUAUUUCUUCGAAUCGUUAUCCAACAUAUAUGUUCUUGGAGAAACUGCAGGUCGCUUGUGUUACUGAUGCUCUAUGUGUAUUCCUUAUCUGAACAUUGCAGGGAAAGACAACACCUGAGACUCUGAAUAAGUCUUUCCAUUCAUCCUCAGCGCCAAUACCUGCAUGCAUUCCCUUACAAAAAACACUUCCAUGCGGCCGGUGAUCGUGCAUUAUAAACGCCAUGGCCAACCUGUUGGCACAAGCCUUGAGAUCACAAUGAGGAAAUCAAUAUCUAUGUUGUGUUUGUUAUUGUAAAGAGGAUUUACAAGUGUACCUAGCUAUCUGGUUGUUCAAAGUCUCAACAUACAACAUCAUAUGUUCCUCAUCUAUUUACCAGAGGACUGAGCUUUGAAAAUGAAGCUGUAUUUUCACUUGUUCCUGCAACAGAAAUAAUCAUACAGCAGACAUCAAUUGAU
Molecule: long non-coding RNA, 1988 nt
Organism: Triticum aestivum (bread wheat)
Lineage: Eukaryota; Viridiplantae; Streptophyta; Magnoliopsida; Poales; Poaceae
Exons: 3
Source: RefSeq, a predicted model, not a curated record